RNAcentral lists this ribosomal RNA (369 nucleotides) under uncultured bacterium. RNAcentral's name for it is "bacterial SSU rRNA". It matches the Rfam family "Bacterial small subunit ribosomal RNA", at positions 29 to 416 of the family's 1533-position model. The record is from RNAcentral.
AGCGAACGCUAGCGGCGGGCCUAACACAUGCAAGUCGAGCGGGGAGCAAUCCCAGCGGCGGACGGGUGAGUAACGCGUAGGUGAUGUGCCUCCAGGUGGGGAAUAACCUUGGGAAACCAGGGCUAAUACCGCAUACAGCCCGAAAGGGUGAAAGCCGUAAGGCGCCAGGAGAGCAGCCUGCGUCCCAUUAUUAUUCCUAGUUGGUGAGGUAACGGCUCACCAAGGGUACGAUGGGUAGCUGGUCUGAGAGGAUGAUCAGCCACACUGGAACUGAGACACGGUCCAGACUCCUACGGGAGGCAGCAGUGGGGAAUAUUGCGCAAUGGGCGAAAAGCCUGACGCAGCCACGCCGCGUGAGUGAUGAAGGCC